AGCAGCCGCGGUAAUUCCAGCUCCAAUAGCGUAUAUUAAAGUUGUUGCAGUUAAAAAAGCUCGUAGUUGAAUUUCGGGUAUCAAUUAAUCGGUCGUGCCUCGGUACGUACUGGCAUUGUUGGUUUCUACCUUCUGACGAACCAUGAUGUCAUUUAUUUGGUGUCGUGGGGAAUCAGGACUGUUACUUUGAAAAAAUUAGAGUAGUUUAAAGCAGGACUCACGCUUGAAUACAUUAGCAUGGAAUAAUGAAAUAGGACGUUUGAUUCUAUUUUGUUGGUUUCUAGGAUCGACGUAAUGAUUAAUAGGGAUAGUUGGGGGCGAUUAGUAUUCAAUUGUCAGAGGUGAAAUUCUUGGAUUUAUUGAAGACUAACUACUGCGAAAGCAUUUGCCAAGGAUGUUUUCAUUAAUCAAAGAACGAAAGUUAGGGGAUCGGAAGACGAUCAGAUACCGUCGUAGUCUUAACCAUAAACUAUGCCGACUAGGGAUCGGGAUGAUGUUAAUUUUUUAAUGUACUCAUUCG
RNAcentral lists this ribosomal RNA (520 nucleotides) under uncultured Glomus. RNAcentral's name for it is "SSU rRNA". It matches the Rfam family "Eukaryotic small subunit ribosomal RNA", at positions 569 to 1082 of the family's 1831-position model. The record is from RNAcentral. Lineage: Eukaryota; Fungi; Glomeromycota; Glomeromycetes; Glomerales; Glomeraceae.